Long non-coding RNA from Gasterosteus aculeatus aculeatus (three-spined stickleback), 1333 nucleotides. The record is from Ensembl. Lineage: Eukaryota; Metazoa; Chordata; Actinopteri; Perciformes; Gasterosteidae.
CCCCCGCUUUGCUACCUCUAAAACUGAGGUGAAAUCUGAAACAGAGCGAUCCCCCCCAAAAAACAUUCCUGCUAAAUCUCAAAAGCCGAGGCAUGUGCCCGGCCCCCACCCACACCGGCACAUGUGUACGCACAAACACAAAAACACAUUCCAACACACGCUCGCGUACGAGCUUAAACAUACCCGCUCAAAACACAUCAUCGACGAGGCCGUGCGCACACACACACACACACACACACACACACACACACAUGCACACAUGCACACAGGGGUUAGAAGUGAGAUUGAGAAGUUGAGAAAAAGCAGGUCUGUGUGUGAGCGGCAGCAGGGAGGUCUGCUUUAAUCCAGAGCAUCCAGGAGGAGGAGGAGGAGGAGGAGGAGGAGGAGGAGGAGGAAGAAGAGGAGGAGGAGAGCAUCUGACGAAGGACAUCUGUCACGCCUAUAAGAACACAAAUCCACGUCAUUUAAAAAAUAAAUAUCUAGUAGUAACAGGAGAAAAGAAAUAUGUAAAACUAGUUAAAUGGGGAAACAGAUGUGCAUUGUGUUCCUGUAUAAUAUAAUAUCUGAAGCCCAGUUCAUCCAGUUAAGCUGGAUAAAGUAUGUAAUAAAGUUAGUUAAUUAAGUCUGAUAAAAGCCAGAUACACAGAAAAACAAAGAAACCUUUUCAUUGAGUGUUUUCCAUUCCCUUUUUUUCUCACAGGUUUUAUAAACCUUUUUAUCAAACAGUGAUCUCAAUUCUAAAUGUUCUUUAUGCAUCAGAAGUAGAAGGAGGUAACAUUCCCAGCGGGUCUACAGCCCUCGGCCUCCAUCGCCCUCUUCAAUUAGCUGCAAUUCAAUUUGUAAUGGCUUUUGCCCAGCAAAAUGUUGAAUAUUUUCCUGAAAAGUUCGUACAACAUUCACCACCACAUCCCCCAGCAUGGUCCUGUGCCUAUUUGCUAAUUUUAUAAAUAAAUAUUUACGAUGGAAUCAAACAAUAAAUCAAUUGUAAAAAACAAUUGUAAAAAAGAAAAACGUCCCUGCAGGCUGUUUUUUCUGGCUCCAGCCUUGCGAGAUGACAUACUUCACUCAUGGAUUUAACUGACCGAUAUGCCGAAACUGUAGUGUCCGAGUUAAACACCACCUACUUUUAAAGGAUUAGAGGUACUUGCAAGACCUUUAACUCAAGGUCUUUAUGGCCUGUUUUGCUGAGCUGACAUGCUUACCUGCUCUCAGGACAUCCACCUGAAGGCUCUCUGUUAGAACUCACAGAUGGUUCUGCAGUGAUGUAAUGAGGCUCAGGCUGGUUUCAUUAAACGGAUGAUUAUAUUUAAUGGUUACAUUUAUAUUUCCUAAU